CUACAUUCUUCUUUCUCCAGAAUGAAUUCUGGAGAAACUUCUUUGAAAUGCUUUCAUAAAAUUUACCAGACACUCUGUUGCCCUUUUUUUAGGUACUGAAGGUUACUGGGCGUUUUCUUGCUCUUACAAUACGGUACUGCAAGACUUGCAUAUAUACACAUUGAGAAAUUUUAUCUAGGCUUCCUUUUAGCACUGUUCAUGGUAUUUUCUACUAAUAAUUCUUAGUGUCAUAGUUAAAAAAUGGAAGGUAGCUGCAAUCCCAUGUUCUUCUUUGUGUUUAUCACACGAAGUCAAUAGGAACUACCUCUUUUCUAUUGAAAUUUUACUUGCCUGGACUCAGUCCACUAAUGAUGCUUUUGAACAUUCUGAAAAACUUUCCCAAUGUUUUUUGAUAUCCUUUGGAGCGAAGAAAUCAACAGGUCAAAGCCCGAUCCAGUGACCAUGAAAUGAAACAAAGAUUCCCACCAAAAGCACUGUAUUAUGGCCAGAGACAAAGCUGGUUCUUGUAAGUAAUUGCCCUUGUUUUGUCCAUAUUGCAUGUGAGCUCUGUCCUACCAGUUCAGCUGCUGUUUGAGUGCCACUGUCUACAAGGAUGUUAUCAGUUCUGGUAAGAUUUCACAUACUCCUCCUGGCACAGCUCUAAUGUAGGUAGUACAUCAAUGGGAUGGUCUGAUUGCUAGUUAUGUUCUCUUUUCUAUCACAUUUACAUUGUGAUGGUGCUACUGAGUACUUGUAUCUGCUCUUCUAAAAUGGCUUUGACGUUAUUUUUGUUCCUCUUUGAAUAGUUUUUCUAUAUUACUUCGCUACUUUCAUUAAGUUUUUAUCCAAAAACUUCAACUGUCAGAGUCCAAGGUUUUAUCAAAAACGACUGAUCCAUUUAUUACUUUUUUUUUCCUUUUUUUUUUUAGAUCUGAGGAUUUUUUUCCCUGUGGAAAACAGGCUUUGAGUAGUUCAAACACCCCGAUCCAUUCUUCCUAUCCGCUUCUGUGCAGGCUUCAUGUAGCCUCAUGCUUUUCCAGGAUCUCGUUUUGCCCAAUGUAUGUUACAAAAGAAAAUUACCUGCCUGUCAUUACGUAUUUUCAUGCCUCAGUUUCUAUGAAGAUCAGUUUUCAUAAUCAUUCCAUCUUUGUUCUGUUCUCAAAGGCUGUUCCACUUCUUAUUCUGCAAAAGGGACAUUCUUUUGACACUCUCUGUACUCAUUAUUAAAACUGUUUAUAAGAAAUGACAACUCAUCAAGGAUAGGGCAAAAUAGCAAGAUACUUCAAAUGUACAUUUGUGCUCAGCUGUUCAGCUCACAGGCAGGAGAGAAAGAGCAUGAAGGAAGCAAUAUCUUAGGAACACUUCGUGAGAUUCUCUUAAAAAACUUCCACUAUAUACCUAACCAUGACAACACUUCAGUGUUUGAGGAUAUUUUAAGCUGACUAAGAUUCAAAUUUCUUCCCAUUUUCCCUUCUCCUUCUCCUCUCAUCAUGGAUGACAACAUCAUCUUCCUACUCACUAAGCAUAAGCAGUGCACCAUAUUUCCUUGUACCCCUCCCAGACUACCUUAUAUCUUGGCUCUGUUUAAAUAUUAUCACUCCUUCCUCCUCAACUUUGCAAAGACCAUCAUGUUUUGCCUGAGAGAUUGCCAAAGUGUUUGUCGAUGGGCUGAUAAUCUCACUGUUUGACUACUGUCACCUCCACUUUUCCAGCUCUCUCGCCUGCAGUCCUUUUGCCUCUCAUGCCUAUGCCAAACACUAUUGCAAUUUUCUAUCUUGCUUGCCAAACACUAUUGAUAUUUUCUGCCUUGCUUUUUGCUUGUUUUCCAGGUCCACCUUGCUUUCUUUUCACCAUCUUACUACUUUAAGUGUAAACAAGGCUUUGAAGACUACCACAAAGUAACAUUUACCAUGAUAAUCAGAUCUCCUUUGGCACAAAAAUAACAGCUCCAUGCCUUGUUAUUCCAACUGUGAAUAACUCCUGAUCUGUCAUGAUCAGUAUGUGACAUGAUAUAACAAUCCCUAUCAAAAAACAGGAAAAUUUCACCAGAGCGUUCUUCAAUUCCUUCUCAAGUCUUUCUUCUCCAGGUCUUCUGGGUAAUCAUGACUAUUUUGGAGGGUGAAUUAAGACCACACUGUAGCAUGCAGAAUCAGGUGGAAGAAGCUGCACCUCCUCCAUCAGAGAAGACAGUAAACAGGAGGCAGGCAGGAAAGAAAAUAGGACUGAUAGCUUAGUAGUGAUCACAGCUUUAAACCAGCUUCCAGCUUCCAUCUUGACUGGGCUCUGCUCCAGAUCACUCAAGAAAUAUUGGGGAAACUCAAUUUCAUCAGAUUUUCCAGGCCAGAGAGACAAAGGCCCUCUGCAGCCCCAGUGCAGCAGGGCGGGUGGCGAAGGCCACACAACGGCAUCAGUGAGGUCAGCACGACCGGGGCUGCUGCAGGCCGUGGGCACAGUGCUGGGCUGGGUCAGGCUGAAACAGGCUUCGCCGAGUCCUCCGCAGGGGAGAACAAUGAGAGGCUUGAGAAACAGGGGCUACUAUCUGGGAGUGUAGCGUUGGUUCCUUUGACUUGAUGCCUAACUUCUCAAUGGAGGAAACUCUAGGAGAUCUUCCUUGUGAUCUGAACACCAGAAGCUGCCAGUCACCAGCAGCUGGAAAUCAAGAAAUGCACAGGCAGAUGAAGUCUGAUGAAAGAUUACAGGACAGCCAUGUACCCCAAGACCAGAUUGCUUUGCUUUUGUACUGCUUCAUCUUCAUACUCCUUAUCAACACAGCAAAGGAACUGCUGUUCUUUUUUGUUGAGAAGCAUGAGCUGUUUGUUAUUGCACUAACCCUGUUAUAUAUAAUUAAAAAUCUCUGGAAUUAUUUGCUUGUUAUUAGUUCUUCCUCUCCAAUAUCAGCCUUCUCUGAAAUUCCUGACCGCAAUCUACAGUGUUCAGAUGUGAGGAUGAAAGGCACCUUACAAGAAGGAUCAGCCAUGUGAUAUGAGUCACUGGUGUUUUUUCUGAUACUUCACAUUUCAGAACCUGUCUCAUUUUUCUGACGCUCUCUCAGCCCUGUAAACUAUCUCAUCGAUAAUAAACUAUUUCCUUUAUCAAAAAUCAUUUAACUAAUUAAGUACGGUUAGAGAACUGAUGGACCAAAGAUGUAUUACAACACCUCAUCAGCUUCUUGGGAACUCAAAAACUGUCUUCUCCAAUACUAUGUGCAAUGCCAUCGUAAAUACCACAAGCAAGAGGAUCUGUCUUUCCCAUGGGGAGUUAUUCUAGAAUAGAACAGUUAUUGCCAGGAAUAUCUGACAUUGUGCAUUUCCCUCGCCAUGCUGCCAUGCUGUCUUUUCCAGCUAUUACUCUUAAAGUAAACCACCACCAGCAAAAUAAAAGACCACUACUUUUAACAAUAGUGGCAUGAUGUCCUGUUGUGUUCACUUUAGACAGCGCUUACCAGUUAGAUUAAAGGGGAUUCUGUCAGACUCCUUGAUUUUGGAUGAUUGCUAAGCAGCAAAAAGAGCAAUUGCUAAGCAAAACAAUCAGAGAAAGAGAAAUUAACGGAUCAAGGGAUCAAGGGGUAGAACAGGGAAGAAAAUCCUACGAAAG
Molecule: RNA transcript, 3573 nt
Organism: Cygnus olor (mute swan)
Lineage: Eukaryota; Metazoa; Chordata; Aves; Anseriformes; Anatidae
Exons: 4
Source: RefSeq, a predicted model, not a curated record